RNAcentral lists this ribosomal RNA (917 nucleotides) under uncultured marine archaeon DCM865. RNAcentral's name for it is "bacterial SSU rRNA". It matches the Rfam family "Archaeal small subunit ribosomal RNA", at positions 1 to 922 of the family's 1478-position model. The record is from RNAcentral.
UUCCGGUUGAUCCUGCCGGAGGCUCCGCUAUUGGAGUUCGAUUAAGCCAUGCGAGUCGUGAGUCUUAGGGACUCGGCGUACCGCUCAGUAACACGUGGGUAACCUGCCCUAUGCUGGGGGAUAACCUCGGGAAACUGAGAAUAAUGCCCCAUAGUUCACCACACCUGGAACGGUGGGUGGAUGAAAGCUCCGGCGGCAUAGGAUGGGCCUGCGGCGUAUCAGGUUGUAGGGGGUGUAAUGUACCCUCUAGCCAUCUACGCCGUACGGGUGUUGAGAGACAUCGCCCGGAGAUGGAUUCUGAGACACGAAUCCAGACCCUACGGGGUGCAGCAGGCGCGAAAACUUGGCAAUGCGAGCAAUCGUGACCAGGGAACUCCAAGUGCAUCGGGUAAGACCGAUGCUUUUCUUGACUCUUCAAAGGUCUUGGAAUAAGGGGUGGGUAAGGACGGUGCCAGCCCGCCCGCGGUAAUACCGGCGCCUCAAGUGGUAGUCGCUUUUAUUGGGCCUAAAACGUCCGUAGCCGGUUUGGUACAUUCGUGGGUAAAUCAAGACGCUCAACGUCUUGAAUUCUGCGAGCACGGCCAGACUUGGGACCGGGUGAGGUGUGGGGUACUCUCAGGGUAGGGGUAAAAUCCUGUCAUCCUGAGAGGACCACCUGUUGCGAAGGCGCCACACUAGAACGGAUCCGACGGUCAGGGACGAAGCCUAGGGGCACGAACCGGAUUAGAUACCCGGGUAGUCCUAGGUGUAAACGCUGUGGACUUGAUGUUGGGAGUGCUCCGAGCGCCCUCAGUGUCGAAGCGAAGGUGAUAAGUCCACUGCCUGGGGAGUACGGUCGCAAGGCUGAAACUUAAAGGAAUUGGCGGGGGAGCACUGCAACCUGAGGAUUGUGCGGUUUAAUUGGAUUCAACGCCGGG